RNAcentral lists this non-coding RNA (112 nucleotides) under human gut metagenome. Its description in RNAcentral is "THF riboswitch". It matches the Rfam family "THF (Tetrahydrofolate) riboswitch aptamer". From Rfam's summary of the family: THF riboswitch presents a pseudoknot that joins P1-P2 and the loop of P3 and two THF binding. The record is from RNAcentral.
GCAAAGUAGAAAUCGACGCGUUGCCUGAUUUUGGCGCAGUGUGCGGGGGACGGGAAGUUGUCCCCGCAACGAAAAGCACUACAGCUUGCGGUGUCGAUUUCGCAUUCCGUUG